RNAcentral lists this ribosomal RNA (369 nucleotides) under uncultured organism. Its description in RNAcentral is "bacterial SSU rRNA". It matches the Rfam family "Bacterial small subunit ribosomal RNA", at positions 526 to 896 of the family's 1533-position model. The record is from RNAcentral.
CGUAGGUGGCAAGCGUUGUCCGGAUUUAUUGGGUUUAAAGGGUGCGUAGGCGGUCUAUUAAGUCAGUGCUGAAAUAUCCCGGCUUAAUCGGGAGGGUGGCAUUGAUACUGAUGGACUUGAGUGCAGUCGAGGUAGGCGGAAUUGACGGUGUAGCGGUGAAAUGCUUAGAUAUCGUCAAGAACACCGAUAGUGUAGACAGCUUACUAGGCUGUAACUGACGCUGAGGCACGAAAGUGUGGGGAUCAAACAGGAUUAGAUACCCUGGUAGUCCACACUGUAAACGUUGAUGACUCGCUGUUUGCGAUGUACAGUAAGCGGCUUAGAGAAAUCGUUAAGUCAUCCACCUGGGGAGUACCGCCGGCAACGGUG